CGGAGGGAUCAUUAAAGAGUUCUAUAACUCCCAAACCCAUGUGAACAUACCUAACGUUGCCUCGGCAGGUCGCACCUACCUUGUAGCACCUUACCCUGUAAGGCCUACCCGGGAGGUGCGGGUAAGCCUGCCGGCGGCCCACCAAACUCUGUUUGAUAUUGAAUUCUGAACCUAUAACUAAAUAAGUUAAAACUUUCAACAACGGAUCUCUUGGUUCUGGCAUCGAUGAAGAACGCAGCGAAAUGCGAUAAGUAAUGUGAAUUGCAGAAUUCAGUGAAUCAUCGAAUCUUUGAACGCAUAUUGCGCCCAUUAGUAUUCUAGUGGGCAGGACCGUUCGAGCGUCAUUUCAACCCUUAAGCCUUCGUUGCUUAGUGUUGGGAGCCUACGGCAACGUAGCUCCUCAAAGUUAGUGGCGGAGUUGGUUCACACUCUAGACGUAGUAAUUUUUUAUCUCGCCUAUUAGUUGGACUAAUCCCCUGCCGUAAAACCCCCAAUUUAUCAAGGUUGACCUCGAAUCGGUUCAGACAAACUCGCUAAAUUGAAGCAUCUUAGUCAGCGAAGGAAAAGAAACCAACAGGGAUUGCCCUAGUAACGGCGAGUGAAGCGGCAACAGCUCAAAUUUGAAAUCUGGCCCUCGGGUCC
RNAcentral lists this ribosomal RNA (642 nucleotides) under fungal endophyte. RNAcentral describes it as "eukaryotic LSU rRNA". The stretch from base 191 to 344 matches the Rfam family "5.8S ribosomal RNA". The record is from RNAcentral. Lineage: Eukaryota; Fungi.